Non-coding RNA from Rattus norvegicus (Norway rat), 286 nucleotides. Lineage: Eukaryota; Metazoa; Chordata; Mammalia; Rodentia; Muridae. The record is from RefSeq and is a predicted model, not a curated record.
AGGUGCUGGAAUUCCCGUGUGCACUGUUGCUGGAAGUGCAGGGUAGAACUGACUGGACAUCUGCCCGUGAAGGACAGAGAUGCUCAGAAGCAUGAUGGCAGGAUCUCAGCAAACAUGGUCCACUCACCGAAGAAGCUUGCAGAUGCUACGGUUACUGCUGAGGUCAUCCCUUUGUAGCUUCCAGCUCUUCAGAGCGCUCCAGUGAAAGACCACAGAUGGGAAUUUCCCAUGAUCCCCGUUUCAGUAACAAAACAGAGGUAUAUUAAAAAUCCCUCAGGGAUCCCUA